RNAcentral lists this long non-coding RNA (551 nucleotides) under Jatropha curcas. Its description in RNAcentral is "long non-coding RNA (JCUR_LNC000536)". Lineage: Eukaryota; Viridiplantae; Streptophyta; Magnoliopsida; Malpighiales; Euphorbiaceae. The record is from RNAcentral.
CUCUCUUUUCCUUCUUCUUCUCCAGCUGCGCAACCUCCUCCUCCCUCCCUUCCCGUUUCUGGCCACCGCCAGAUGAGAGCGAGGUUGAUAACGACUCGCCUCGUGCUGCUGGUGAAGUUUCCAGCCCUCUCUCACGCAGAUGGAGCCCCAGCGACGCAGAUCGGAGCCGUCCCCUUCGACAGCUCUACUCUUCAAUCUUAAGCGAGUCCUCGCCGUUUUUGACCACUGUGCUCACUGAGAGCGGGCGCGAAUGAUUCGUUGUUGCCCUGUGAAGUGUUUCUCCUCAGUUAAAUUGAGUUUCGGGUGGAUAACAGCGAAACCACCAUGGUCGGCAGUCCCCUUAGCAACUUUUGGGACCAUUUCUGGCUUUUAGGGUAAUCGUUUUGAUUAUUAAACAUGAAAUCGGUGAUCUCCCCAUGAAAUGGAGCAAAUUGAUGUAAAGAGUUGGUGUUUCUGGGCUGUUUGGAUUUCUCCGGCCACCGUGCACGGCAGUCGGCGGCAGCGGCCCGGUGACCGGCCGGCGACACUCCGGCGAGGCCCCGAGAGACAGA